UAAUCCCUAAUUAGCUAUACUAACAAAACUAACCCUAAUCCCCUCAUUUAUUUUUCCACUUUGCUAGAGUCACACUUCCCUCUCUCCGUCGGCACCUCUCUCCCCCGAUUCCCUUCCCAUAAUUCCCAGUCAACGCCUCUCUCCCCCCACUUCACUGGAGACAACCCUUGCCUCUCCCCAAUCGGCGUCGGCGACAUUUCCUUUGACUGGAACUCUCUUCAGGCUUUUCUUUUCCUUCACUUCAACUACUGUUGUCGACAUCUUUUGUUUUUCCACGAUUUUGAGUGCCCAUUUCUUGAAAAGAUCCUACUCGACCUUUUGCUACUCUUUCUCUGGCCCGUUGACUUAAUUUACUGUUCCAACUAUGGUUGAAUCUAUGUCAAUUUUGGGAAAUUCUGCACCAAUUGAAAAUGGUGUUAAUCAUGUUAAAUUGCUUCCUGCAUCUAAUGAUGAUCAUGAGGGUGUAAUAGUUGACAUGAAGGAGCCUAUGGAACCUGACGUAUUUCUCACCUUGCUCAGAGCUUCAUUAUCACUGUGGAGGCAACAGGCGAAGAGGGGAGUUUGGAUUAAGUUACCCAUUGAACUUGUAAAUCUUGUAGAAACUGCAGUUAAGGAAGGAUUUUGGUACCACCGUGCUGAGCCAAGUUACCUUAUGCUUGUUUACUGGAUUCCUGAAACUGCAAGUACAAUCCCUGCUAAUGCUUCACAUAGAGUAGGUAUUGGUGCUAUUGUCAUUAAUGACAAAAGAGAGGUAUUUUCUGCAACCUCUUUUGCAGUUUCCGCUUGCUCUUAUUCUGCUUUGCUUUUAUUUUAUGUCACUUAUCCUUAUUCUCUUUAAAACAAAUAUGUUAAUGUUCUUUACUUUCAUCAUUCCUCUAAUCCAAAAGCUGAGUUUUCUAUUGAUAUAAACAUAGGUCUCAGUUUAGUUCAUCCCUUUCCCCAUGUGUUUGCUGUCUAACUCUCACAUGUAUAUUGUUGAUCUGAAAAUGGGAAUCCUCUUGGCUGUUAACUUCUUGUUUUAGACUCACAUGCAUAUAUUGCUGGUCUUGAACGAGAAUCUUCUUGGUUGUUAGGUGCUUGUUGUCCAGGAGAAGAGUGGCAGAUUUCGAGGAACAGGGGUGUGAAAAAUUCCCACUAGAGUUGUUGAUGAGUACUUGAGUGGACUUAUAGCAUAAACUGUUCAUUUGUCUUCAGGAUAUGGGGCAUCUUCUGGCAAGCCCUCUGAGUUAAACACAUACUCUGACAUAGAGGCCGUGUACAAUUGUUUGAUGAAUGAAUAUGAAGUUAAGGAAGAGGAUUUGAUCUUGUAUGGCCAAUCUGUUGGAAGUGGACCUACCUUGCAUUUAGCUUCUCGUUUAGAGAAGUUGAGGGGAGUUGUUCUUCACAGCGCAAUCCUUUCAGGCAUACGCGUCUUGUGUCCUAUCAAGAUGACAUUUUGGUUUGACAUUUACAAGAAUAUUGACAAAAUACGGCAAGUCAAUUGCCCAGUUCUUGUUAUACAUUUUGCAGAAACUUGUAGAAGACCAAAAUCAGAUGAUAGCUCAAAUGCGUGAUGAACUACAGACAGCGAAGAUGGGACAGCAGUCUUCCUCAUUGAUGCCAUCAUCAUCUGAUAAUCCUCCAGCUCAUAGAUCUCUUGGUGAUUCACAUAUGGAUUAGCAUGAUGUCAUUACUCACUGACUUAAAUAAUAUAUUUUAUGAUAUGAACUUGAUACUAGUUGGAUCCAUUAUGUAUUUUGAGAUAUUUUAAGUUUCUUAGUGUUGAACUAUAGUAAUGUUUUGGACUUUUAGAUUGCAGAAUUAUGAAAUGAAGUUGAUGUGUAUAUAUUGUUUUUGA
RNA transcript from Manihot esculenta (cassava), 1837 nucleotides. It is a transcript of the gene named alpha/beta hydrolase domain-containing protein 17C-like, with no coding region annotated. Lineage: Eukaryota; Viridiplantae; Streptophyta; Magnoliopsida; Malpighiales; Euphorbiaceae. The record is from RefSeq and is a predicted model, not a curated record. The transcript is spliced from 9 exons.